UUUUGUUAGAGAGAGAUGAAGAGAGAAGACGCCAGAGAGAAGAGGUCGUAGGAUUCAACUGGGAGCAGGGCCAUGAUUCGACGCCCGGGGUGAGAUCGAAGGAGGAUUGGUGACGGGGAGGGAUUACACUCAUUAUUCUGCCCCCAUUCCGUAUAUACAAGAAUCGACUACUUCAUAACAUUUGGAAAAGAAAAAGACAAAAUAAUCACCUGUGGAAUUGGGACAAUAGAUCAAGACCAUGACAUUCUUCUUCAGUGUGGUACAGGAUUGAUCACCAUAUCAUCUGGGAUGUAACCUUACAUAUCUACAAACCCUUUAUGCUGUUCAACCUCCUGAGUUUGUCCAGCAGAUUAUUUGCUGAUGAAAACAAGGCAACAGAGGACCAUGAAAGACCUAGCGUUACAGCAAGUUAGAAUGAUAAGGCCACAGGGAAGAGUAAGUCUAAGGGUAGAAGUGAGACUUCAGCCAUUGGAAACUUAUUUGACUUACCCUGGCUUUGAUGAUGGUGGGUCGAGGAUCAAGGAUUCCUUGCAUUUUCCUCAGUGCAGGUAUAACAAAGAGAUUGCAGGUGACAACUGCUGA
Mobula hypostoma (lesser devil ray) is the source of this 582-nucleotide long non-coding RNA. RefSeq lists it as uncharacterized. Lineage: Eukaryota; Metazoa; Chordata; Chondrichthyes; Myliobatiformes; Myliobatidae. The transcript is spliced from 5 exons. The record is from RefSeq and is a predicted model, not a curated record.